UACGUAGGGGACAAGCGUUGUCCGGAAUUACUGGGUGUAAAGCGCGUGUAGGCGGCCUGCCAAGUCUGCUGUGAAAGCGCCUGGCUUAACCGGGCGAGGUCGGUGGAAACUGGCGGGCUGGAGGCCGGUAGAGGGGGGUGGAAUUCCCGGUGUAGUGGUGAAAUGCGUAGAGAUCGGGAGGAACACCAGUGGCGAAGGCGGCCCCCUGGGCCGGGCCUGACGCUGAGACGCGAAAGCGCGGGGAGCGAACGGG
This 253-nucleotide ribosomal RNA is filed under the name uncultured bacterium. RNAcentral's name for it is "partial 16S ribosomal RNA". It matches the Rfam family "Bacterial small subunit ribosomal RNA", at positions 524 to 776 of the family's 1533-position model. The record is from RNAcentral.